CUCCGCCUCCUCGGGGACACGCCUCCUGCCGCGCCCUUCCGGCCCCCGCCCCCACGGGGCGCGCGGAGCCGGAAGGCUAUCCGGGUCGAGCCACCAAAUGCUAGGACACAUGAUCCAUCAGAAAUGAGGGCUGACUAUGGCUGCUGUUCAGACAUAGAGAACCAGUGGUAACUGAGUACAUGAGAAAAUACAUCUUACCAAGAAAGAUUUUGUACCGAACAUGGAUAUGAUUUCUGCAGCUGUGGCAGCCAUCUUGCAACUAUGAAGCAAAGAACACAAAGAUAAAAGGCAAGCACCCUAAAAAUAGCAGAGCCAGAAGAUGGAGAGCCUAAAUAACAUUAUUGAGCAGUUGAAGUAAAUCUUGCAACUAUUUA
This is a long non-coding RNA of Microcebus murinus (gray mouse lemur), 374 nucleotides long. RefSeq lists it as uncharacterized. The record is from RefSeq and is a predicted model, not a curated record. NCBI's taxonomy places the organism in Eukaryota, Metazoa, Chordata, Mammalia, Primates, Cheirogaleidae.